GGGGUUGUAGCUCAGUUGGUAGAGCGCACGCUUCGCAUGCGUGAGGCCUGGAGUUCGACUCUCCACUGCUCCA
The sequence is a transfer RNA, 73 nucleotides long. It matches the Rfam family "tRNA". Rfam says of the family: Transfer RNA (tRNA) molecules are approximately 80 nucleotides in length. Their secondary structure includes four short double-helical elements and three loops (D, anti-codon, and T loops). The record is from Rfam.